This 249-nucleotide ribosomal RNA is filed under the name uncultured prokaryote. RNAcentral describes it as "partial 16S ribosomal RNA". It matches the Rfam family "Bacterial small subunit ribosomal RNA", at positions 524 to 772 of the family's 1533-position model. The record is from RNAcentral.
UACGGAGGAUGCGAGCGUUAUCCGGAUUUAUUGGGUUUAAAGGGUGCGUAGGCGGCCGAGUAAGUCAGCGGUGAAAUUUUGCAGCUUAACUGUAACAGUGCCGUUGAUACUGCAUGGCUAGGAUUUGGUUGCUGUGGGUGGAAUGUGUGGUGUAGCGGUGAAAUGCUUAGAUAUCACACAGAAUAUCGAUUGCGAAGGCAGCUCACAAAGCCAAGAUUGACGCUGAGGCACGAAAGUGUGGGGAUCGAA